UGGGGAAUUUUGGACAAUGGGCGCAAGCCUGAUCCAGCUAUUCCGCGUGUGGGAUGAAGGCCCUCGGGUUGUAAACCACUUUUGUAGAGAACGAAAAGACACCUUUUAAAAAAGGGUGUUGCUGACGGUACUCUAAGAAUAAGCACCGGCUAACUACGUGCCAGCAGCCGCGGUAAUACGUAGGGUGCGAGCGUUAAUCGGAAUUACUGGGCGUAAAGGGUGCGCAGGCGGUUGAGUAAGACAGAUGUGAAAUCCCCGAGCUUAACUCGGGAAUGGCAUAUGUGACUGCUCGACUAGAGUGUGUCAGAGGGAGGUGGAAUUCCACGUGUAGCAGUGAAAUGCGUAGAUAUGUGGAAGAACACCGAUGGCGAAGGCAGCCUCCUGGGACAUAAUUGACGCUCAGGCACGAAAGCGUGGGGAGCAAACAGG
Molecule: ribosomal RNA, 429 nt
Filed under: uncultured bacterium
Lineage: Bacteria
Description: bacterial SSU rRNA
Rfam family: Bacterial small subunit ribosomal RNA
Source: RNAcentral